AUUGUAAAUACACCAUUUCAUUUCGUAACUUCAAACGUAUAUCAGAUUUCACAAUUUUCUCUGUGUCUUUCUUAGUUACGUUGCAUGCUCAAAGGAUCAGAACUUGAUGAAGAACCUGGCAACUGCAUCGAAAAUCUUGUAAGAUCAUCCUGUUGUUGUUGUUGCUGAGAUGUACUUGAAGAUGAAGAUGAAGAGGUAGUUGAUAAGCUGCGCGACAAAAACCUUUGACUUCCACCAUAGAAACCAGAAAACGCGGACGAGAAGGAGGAAUAACUGGAUUCGAAACUUGUGUAGUUACCGCAUGAUGCGAUUGAUGAGUGGUGAGAUAACCUAGUUCUGAUUUACCUUGAACUCUUUCUGGGAAGUUAAGCUUAGCUUUGCAUCCUUUGAACCUCAGCGCCGCCGCAUCGUAAGCAAGUGCUGCGGCUUCAGCCGUAUUAAAAGUCCCAAGCCAUACUCUAGCUGCUUUCUUUGGAUCUCGUAUCUCGGCAGCCCAUUUGCCCCAAGGUCUUUGCCGUACGCCUCUAUAGUGUCUUCUCCUUACAUUACCUUUUACAAAAAAAUUAAUUUUCUUUAGCAUGUUUACUAUAGCUUUUUUUUUUCUAUAUUAAAUGAAACAAAAUCAAACUGCAACAACAGAUUUAGGCUUCAUUGCAGUCAAAAGAUGAAAAUAUGUAUAAUCUCAGUGCAUCAGAGAAAGAGAUCGAUGAAACACA
Molecule: long non-coding RNA, 716 nt
Organism: Mangifera indica (mango)
Lineage: Eukaryota; Viridiplantae; Streptophyta; Magnoliopsida; Sapindales; Anacardiaceae
Exons: 3
Source: RefSeq, a predicted model, not a curated record